Molecule: ribosomal RNA, 233 nt
Filed under: uncultured bacterium
Lineage: Bacteria
Description: partial 16S ribosomal RNA
Rfam family: Bacterial small subunit ribosomal RNA
Source: RNAcentral
UAACGUUAGUGGCAGACGGGUGAGUAAUGUAUAGGAAUCGUACCUAGUAGUACGGAAUAAUUGUUGGAAACGGCAACUAAUACCGUAUACGCCCUACGGGGAAAAAUUUAAUUGGCUAGUUAGAUGAGCCUAUAUUAGAUUAGCUAGUUGGUGGAGUAAUAGCGUACCAAGGCAAUGAUCUAUAGCUGAUCUGAGAGGAUGAUCAGCCACACUUGAACUGAGAUACGAUUCAG